UUGGAGGGCAAGUCUGGUGCCAGCAGCCGCGGUAAUUCCAGCUCCAAUAGCGUAUAUUAAAGUUGUUGCAGUUAAAAAGCUCGUAGUCGAAUUUCGGGAUUGGCACAUCGGUCGUGCCUUAAGGGGCAUGAACUGGUGUAGCCAAUUUCUCACCUUCUGGAGAACCGCGAUGUCCUUAAUUGGGUGCCGCGAGGAACCAGGAUCUUUACUUUGAAAAAAUUAGAGUGUUUAAAGCAGGCAUUUUGCUUGAAUACAUUAGCAUGGAAUAAUAAAAUAGGACGGAUGAUUCUAUUUUGUUGGUUUCUAGGACCACCGUAAUGAUUAAUAGGGAUAGUUGGGGGCAUUAGUAUUCAAUUGUCAGAGGUGAAAUUCUUGGAUUUAUUGAAGACUAACUACUGCGAAAGCAUUUGCCAAGGAUGUUUUCAUUAAUCAAGAACGAAAGUUGGGGGAUCGAAGACGAUCAGAUACCGUCGUAGUCUUAACCAUAAACUAUGCCGACUAGGAAUCAGACGAUGUUAAUUUUUUAAUGACUCGUUUGGCACCUUACGGGAAACCAAAGUGUUUGGGUUC
RNAcentral lists this ribosomal RNA (570 nucleotides) under uncultured Glomeromycotina. Its description in RNAcentral is "SSU rRNA". It matches the Rfam family "Eukaryotic small subunit ribosomal RNA", at positions 548 to 1114 of the family's 1831-position model. Lineage: Eukaryota; Fungi; Glomeromycota. The record is from RNAcentral.